RNAcentral lists this ribosomal RNA (118 nucleotides) under Danio rerio (zebrafish). The record is from RNAcentral. Lineage: Eukaryota; Metazoa; Chordata; Actinopteri; Cypriniformes; Danionidae.
CAUGUCGGCAACUAGUUCACUGCAAUUCUCACACGGUCGCCCACUGAAGCUAAGCAGGGCUGUGCCUGGUCAUUCCCUGAUGAGAGACCACAUGGGAAAAGCUAGGCUGCUGACAGAA